RNAcentral lists this long non-coding RNA (396 nucleotides) under Trifolium pratense (red clover). RNAcentral's name for it is "long non-coding RNA (TPRA_LNC002400)". The record is from RNAcentral. Lineage: Eukaryota; Viridiplantae; Streptophyta; Magnoliopsida; Fabales; Fabaceae.
AAAUCCAAAUAGAAUAUAAGAAGUUAAUGACCGAUUACCAUAGCAGUAUACCAAUACAAUCCAACCAAAUAGAAUAUAAUAAGUUAACGACCAAUUACCAUAGCAGUAUACCAAUAUAAAGGUACAUCUUAGUAUAAAGUACAUAACAAAGAAAUCAAACUCAACCACAGUAACGACGGCGGCGACGGGCAGGUAAGACCUCAUCUACUGAAUCGUCAUCAUCAUAGGUAACGACGGCGGCGACGGGCAGGUAAGACCUCAUCUACUGAAUCGUCAUCGUCAUAGUGGCGAUUCCUCCUUUUAGAUUGAGGUUGCUUUGGCAAGACCUCGUCUAGUGAAUCAUCAACAUAGUGAGGAUGUCCUCUUUUGGCUUGACGUUGCUUUGGUAAGUCCUCA